GCGGUGCAUUAGUUAGUUGGCGAGGUAACGGCUCACCAAGACGAUGAUGCAUAGCCGACCUGAGAGGGUGAUCGGCCACACUGGGACUGAGACACGGCCCAGACUCCUACGGGAGGCAGCAGUAGGGAAUCUUCGGCAAUGGACGAAAGUCUGACCGAGCAACGCCGCGUGAGUGAAGAAGGUUUUCGGAUCGUAAAACUCUGUUGUCAGAGAAGAACAGGGAUAAGAGUAACUGUUUAUCCCGUGACGGUAUCUGACCAGAAAGCCACGGCUAACUAC
Molecule: ribosomal RNA, 279 nt
Filed under: uncultured bacterium
Lineage: Bacteria
Description: partial 16S ribosomal RNA
Rfam family: Bacterial small subunit ribosomal RNA
Source: RNAcentral